AUUGAACGCUGGCGGCAUGCUUUACACAUGCAAGUCGAACGGUAACAGGCCGCAAGGUGCUGACGAGUGGCGAACGGGUGAGUAAUGCAUCGGAACGUGCCCAGUCGUGGGGGAUAACUACUCGAAAGAGUAGCUAAUACCGCAUACGAUCUAUGGAUGAAAGCGGGGGACCGUAAGGCCUCGCGCGAUUGGAGCGGCCGAUGUCAGAUUAGGUAGUUGGUGGGGUAAAGGCUCACCAAGCCAACGAUCUGUAGCUGGUCUGAGAGGACAACCAGCCACACUGGGACUGAGACACGGCCCAGACUCCUACGGGAGGCAGCAGUGGGGAAUUUUGGACAAUGGGCGCAAGCCUGAUCCAGCAAUGCCGCGUGCAGGAAGAAGGCCUUCGGGUUGUAAACUGCUUCUGUACGGAACGAAACGGCUCUGGUUAAUACCCGGGGCUAAUGACGGUACCGUAAGAAUAAGCACCGGCUAACUACGUG
Molecule: ribosomal RNA, 482 nt
Filed under: uncultured bacterium
Lineage: Bacteria
Description: partial 16S ribosomal RNA
Rfam family: Bacterial small subunit ribosomal RNA
Source: RNAcentral